Molecule: ribosomal RNA, 253 nt
Filed under: uncultured bacterium
Lineage: Bacteria
Description: partial 16S ribosomal RNA
Rfam family: Bacterial small subunit ribosomal RNA
Source: RNAcentral
UACGUAGGGCGCAAGCGUUGUCCGGAAUUAUUGGGCGUAAAGAGCUCGUAGGCGGCUUGUCACGUCGGGUGUGAAAGCCCGGGGCUUAACCCCGGGUCUGCAUCCGAUACGGGCAGGCUAGAGUGUGGUAGGGGAGAUCGGAAUUCCUGGUGUAGCGGUGAAAUGCGCAGAUAUCAGGAGGAACACCGGUGGCGAAGGCGGAUCUCUGGGCCAUUACUGACGCUGAGGCGCGAAAGCUAGGGGAGCAAACGGG